Molecule: ribosomal RNA, 484 nt
Filed under: uncultured bacterium
Lineage: Bacteria
Description: partial 16S ribosomal RNA
Rfam family: Bacterial small subunit ribosomal RNA
Source: RNAcentral
AUUGAACGCUGGCGGCAGGCCUAACACAUGCAAGUCGAGCGGAUGAAGGGAGCUUGCUCCUGGAUUCAGCGGCGGACGGGUGAGUAAUGCCUAGGAAUCUGCCUGGUAGUGGGGGAUAACGUCCGGAAACGGGCGCUAAUACUGCAUACGUCCUGAGGGAGAAAGUGGGGGAUCUUCGGACCUCACGCUAUCAGAUGAGCCUAGGUCGGAUUAGCUAGUUGGUGGGGUAAAGGCCUACCAAGGCGACGAUCCGUAACUGGUCUGAGAGGAUGAUCAGUCACACUAGAACUGAGACACGGUCCAGACUCCUACGGGAGGCAGCAGUGGGGAAUAUUGGACAAUGGGCGAAAGCCUGAUCCAGCCAUGCCGCGUGUGUGAAGAAGGUCUUCGGAUUGUAAAGCACUUUAAGUUGGGAGGAAGGGCAGUAAGUUAAUACCUUGCUGUUUUGACGUUACCAACAGAAUAAGCACCGGCUAACUUCGUG